Long non-coding RNA from Melanotaenia boesemani (Boeseman's rainbowfish), 407 nucleotides. RefSeq lists it as uncharacterized. Lineage: Eukaryota; Metazoa; Chordata; Actinopteri; Atheriniformes; Melanotaeniidae. The transcript is spliced from 3 exons. The record is from RefSeq and is a predicted model, not a curated record.
UUUUUCUCCUGCCUUCCCAGAGUCUCUCCUGAUUUCACGCGAGUCAGGACGACCACUCUCAUUACUUGCAAGUAAUUUGUCUGUGUUCAUUUUUCCUAUAAUAAAUUUGGUCUUACUCAUUCCAGACUCUUGGUAAUUUUUCUACGACACUUGUGGGGUACCACAAGGCUCAAUUCUUGGCCCUCUUCUUUUUACGUUGUAUUGCCUCCCUUUGGCACCAUUUUGCAUGAAUAUAAUAUUUCAUUUUGAUGUUGAUGACUGCCUGAUAUAUGCUCCCUUAAAAGACUAAGAGGAAGUUCUGCUGUGCCUUAGGGACAUUAAGGAGCAGCUGGACUCCUGAGUUUUAAUGAAAAGAAGCCUGAGGUCAUUUUGUUCGAACCCAGCAGUUCCUCGACGGCAUGUCUGAA